UCAAAUUCUGGCUGUUAUGCUGUCAUUACCCAGCCUGAUGUCACAAUAAAAGCCAUGGCAUUUUUUAGCAAAAACAGGUACAAGUAGGUAGCAAAAGAAAAUUCUCCUUAGAAAACUGGACUCUUCUUUCCUUUGGACAUAUAAAGACAGUCAUUUGUCCAAGUGUCUCUGUAAGCUCCAUUUGGUGAGUUACCAUACCUGGAAACUCUGAUUUGAGACAGUGAGCUGUGUGACCAUUGGAGGAUGAGCAAAUGCCAAGAUCAGAGGCAGAGAAGAAUUCGAGGUCUAUCAACCAGUGAUCUGCCACAGAACUGACCUGAACUGAUCCAAUCACAUGGAGAAGGCUGAAGAAGUACAUAAAUACCAAAAC
Molecule: long non-coding RNA, 370 nt
Filed under: Fukomys damarensis (Damara mole-rat)
Lineage: Eukaryota; Metazoa; Chordata; Mammalia; Rodentia; Bathyergidae
Description: lncRNA (ENSFDAG00000025466.1)
Source: RNAcentral